GAUAAUACUGGAUAGGCAAUUAUUCCUGUAAUGGUUUUUUGUUUAAAUGUUUUUUCGCCUAAGGAUGAGUCUGCGGCCGAUUAGGUAGUUGGUUAGGUAAUGGCUUACCAAGCCGUUGAUCGGUACGGGUUGUGAGAGCAAGAGCCCGGAGAUGGAACCUGAGACAAGGUUCCAGGCCCUACGGGGUGCAGCAGGCGCGAAACCUCCGCAAUGUGAGAAAUCGCGACGGGGGGAUCCCAAGUGCCAUUCUUAACGGGAUGGCUUUUCA
RNAcentral lists this ribosomal RNA (268 nucleotides) under uncultured archaeon. RNAcentral's name for it is "partial 16S ribosomal RNA". It matches the Rfam family "Archaeal small subunit ribosomal RNA", at positions 145 to 413 of the family's 1478-position model. The record is from RNAcentral.